CGCGAAUCUUGAAUAAUGAAGUUUAUAAAAUGGCGUCCACAUAGAAGGAUUUUAAAUGUUAUGUUUUACUCUGUUUCAGUUCGAUACACGAGUCGUUAUUUUAGUACUAAAACCACGAAUGCAGGCAUGGAUUACGAAAUAUUGCAUAAUGAAGUUGAUGGUGAAUUUUACAUUAAUUUGAAAGACGGUACACUACCAGCUACAUAACAUCGUUAUUAUCGUUUUAUUGUUGUCAUUUUUGUUACUAAUAUACUUGUACAGGUAGUCACAUAAACCGUAAUUUUGUUUCAGAAAAGGCUGUACUACAAUAUAAAUAUCUCGACGAUAAAGAAAAUACAGUUGAUUUUUACCAUACUGGUGUACCUAGUGCAUAUCGAGGAAAGGGAUUGCUGCUGAGUUAGUAAAGUUUGCAUUUGAACACAUGGCAUCGUUGAACGUACAGGUCUCUCCGUCUUGCUCAUAUGUUGAACAUUACAUCGCGAAAAACAAGAAUUCUGAUCUGGUGAAAAAAUUAAAAAUUAAAUUAUGACCAUGAAGCAUCAUAAAUUAUUCAACAUGUCCGCCAAAUCGUUAUCAUCUUCUGCCCCUGCAAUGAACUCAUCCAAAGAUAAAACGCCAUCUGAGUUCUUAUCAACUCGUUUAAAUAUAUCGUCGGUCAUCUCUUUUGCUAAUUGGUCAUCGUCAUAUUUUCCCGAAAGCUUUUGAAUCGCUCUCAAGAUUCCAAGAAGCUCCUCUCUAAAUAAAACAUUUGUAAAGGAGUUGUAUUCGAACUCGGAAUUAUUAUAAAUAAUAGUCGUAUAAUACGGGAAUAUGAAAGUUAACCUUGUGAUAAAGCCAUUUCCAUCGACAUCGUACAUAUUAAAUGCCCAUUUUAACCUUUCA
Molecule: long non-coding RNA, 882 nt
Organism: Xenia sp. Carnegie-2017
Lineage: Eukaryota; Metazoa; Cnidaria; Anthozoa; Malacalcyonacea; Xeniidae
Exons: 2
Source: RefSeq, a predicted model, not a curated record